RNAcentral lists this long non-coding RNA (3077 nucleotides) under Pan troglodytes (chimpanzee). RNAcentral describes it as "long non-coding RNA NONPTRT006992". Lineage: Eukaryota; Metazoa; Chordata; Mammalia; Primates; Hominidae. The record is from RNAcentral.
GCGGGUGUGAUCUGGAGGGGACACGGGGCCCGGCUGUGUUUCUGGGGCAUAAGUGAGACUUCCUUUUGUUGUAGUCACUGCCCCGUUGAUCCACACACGUCACGAAUCAGUGACAGAGACUCGCUGUGGAAACCGGAGUGCGCUGGCCUGCCUGCUACCCUCCGGUGUUUGUGACUUUUUACCAGCUGUCCUGACGAAGCACAGGGUGGAGCGAGCGCUGGUGUGCUGGGUGGAUUCUCAUCCCCCGAUAGCUGGAAAGUUGCCCCUCAUGACACUGGCCACUGCAUCGACAGCCUCUGUUGCUGGGUGUUUCUUCUAAGCAAUUAAGUAGGAGAUGAUGAAACCUCUCUUCCGUGGGGGGAGGCAGGACCAGCGCCCCGUCUUUAUCAGCCAGUGGCCAUAAAUGUGGACCAUGAACUUUCCCACUUGCUGUCAGCCCGGGCAUCGCAGGUGCGGUCACCCCUGGUUCGUCUCUCCUGCAAGGUGGGGAAAGGAAAGUUAACCUGCCAGUGGGUUAAGCCCUUCCUGACUUUCAUACGGGAGCCGGGCAUUUUGUCCUGGUGACCCAGAGUUGUGGUGUGUGGGCUGGUGCCUCAACAACCCUCCAGUGCACCUGCGCCCCUCUUCAGUGAGUCCCUUUAUCCACUUGGGAUUUGCUCUCCUUUCCGUGAAGGUGCCCCACAAGCAUGUCCACCUGGGUGGUAACCCUUGCUGAGUUUUAAAAGUGUAUCUGUUCAGUCUGUUGAUCCAACAUCAGAUCAGCCUUGUCAGUUUCCUAAAGUUGAACGAACCACGGUUUUGUCUGCACGCUUUAGUUUUAUCACAACAGAACUGAGUGUGUCACCUGCAUCUCACGUGAAAAUCACAAAAUGCCCUCAUCCAUGACCAUUAAAGAUAGGUCACAUUUUUGCAAUGCCAGCAAUUUUGCAUAAACAGACUCUGUUUUCAGGUUUGCUGAGGUGCUGGAUAUUUGGAGGUGAGAGAUUUGAGGCACUCGAUUUUCUGGCAGGAACCAGCACAGGCCACGAGUCUCGGACUUCGUGCGGAGGUCUGCUGGUGUCUUCUGAGUGGGUGGAGCCAGGCGUGCCCACCAGAUGCGGGUAGCGUGUGCUAGGCCAGGACGGCUCCCCAGGCUCAAGUCGGCCUCCUCCUGGGCCGAGGAUCCCCCGAGAGGGAGGCAACGUGUCAGGACGGUGUAUGUGGAGAGAGGCUUGAGGCUCGGUGCCCGAGCACGGGCAGGAGGACAGUGGCCUCGAUGCCAGAGACCGGAGGGAGGGACGCGACGAUGAGGCUGCAUAAGAAGAGAGCUGACUGUAGCUGAGUGUGUCAGCCACUCACCACCGAGUCCAGUUUCCGCACAGCACGAUCAUCGUGCCCUUGCUCACACACGUGUUAGAUGAGCUUGUGUGAGCUUUAUGGGCUGUAAUUUGUGAGUCUGUUCUGGGUGUGUGAUCCUGGCAGCCGGCUCGGCCUGGCCGCUCGUGACCUGGGGCCUUGUGGGGGUGGGGAGAGGGUGAGGAGGGGUGCACCCUCGACACCACCCUCUGAUGUGGCCUGCAGCCUAUGAAGAGUGAGGUUUGGGGGCCCAGAGUGUGAGUCACCAGCGGUAAAUGCAAACCAUAUGUGAUGCAUUUUCUCUGCUGCAGAAAGGGUUUCUGGUGACUGGCUCAGGCCAGGGCUCUGGAAACAGCAUUGCUUAUUUCACAUAAAAAUCCUAAGAAUGUGGGUGAACCUGUCUGAGAUCUGCGUAAUAAAACACUUAGUUGAAGUCACCGGGUUAGUUCCAGGCCCACUUGCUUAUGACGUGGCUGUUAGCCACGAGCUGGCAUUUACGUUAAAGUGUUGAGAAGAAGCGUGAGGGUUUUGAUGUUUCAGUUUCUUGAAAAUAUAACUGUUUCUACUCAGGACCUGCCUCUCCAAGAGUGUAGCACACUUCAUUUUUUUCUGUUUAGCAUGUAUGAGGGUGAACUUAGCUUGCUACUCACACACUACUCACUCUGUGGAGGAAGUUUGCCUCGCUUUUGUGGUGAGUCUUGCUGUAAUGAUAGCUUAUAUUUACAAAUACCGUCAGCAGUGCAGGGUCUUCAGGCUUGCAGAAAACGGUCAAGUCAUUACUUUGAGAAAUGUACAAACAUCUAUGCUUAAUGAGGUGCUAAAAGACAAAACUCAUCUACAAUCUCCUUCCCCCCAAACUGCCAACACUUCUGAUUAAUUUAAAAUCUGCUCUAAACGACAAAACUCAUCUACAACCUCCUUCCCCCCAAACUGCCAACACUUCUGAUUAAUUUAAAAUCUGCUCUAAAAGACAAAACUCAUCUACAACCUCCUUCCCCACAAACUGCCAACACUCUGGAUUAAUUUAAAAGCUGCUCUCUGGGCAGGUUGCAUCCCAGGGCUCCUCCUUCACACAUGGUGGGGCCCCACCUUCGCUUUACCUCUAGCGUCCCAGCCCUCGUGGUCAUCUGGAACCAGGGUUGGUACACAGGGCCUGCUGGCAUUCCUAUGAUACUCCGUGAUAUUCUGGAGGAAUCCAUCCCUUCCUUGGGGCUCCAUCCCACUGCCCCAGCACCUCCAGCCACCCUGAUUCAGGGACAUCGCAGAGAUUGGUGUUUGACGCUACGGCAGCAGAGGCGCAGACUCUUGAGUGUUGGAGGGUGUCUGGAGGGCCUGGGGGCCAGCACCGCCUGCACUCCCGGGAGCUCGGCCCCGCCCCACCGUGGCUCUGAGUGUCGGAGGGCGUCUGGAGGACCUGGGGGCCAGCACCACCUGCACUCCCGGGAGCUCGGCCCCUCCCCACCGUGGCUCUGAGUGUUGGAGGGCGUCUGGAGGGCCUGGGGGCCAGCACCGCCUGCACUCCCGGGAGCUCGGCCCCUCCCCACCGUGGCUCUGAGUGUUGGAGGGCGUCUGGAGGGCCUGGGGGCCAGCACCACCUGCACUCCCGGGAGCUCUGCCCCUCCCCACCGUGGCUCUGAGUGUGGGAGGGCGUCUGGAGAGCCUGGGGGCCAGCACCGCCUGCACUCCUGGGAGCUCGGCCCUGCCCCACCAUGGCUCUUGGUGCAGGUGCACUGGAAGGAACU